AUAAUGGGUCAGCGACUUAUAUUCUGUAGCAAGGUUAACCGAAUAGGGGAGCCGAAGGGAAACCGAGUCUUAACUGGGCGUUAAGUUGCAGGGUAUAGACCCGAAACCCGGUGAUCUAGCCAUGGGCAGGUUGAAGGUUGGGUAACACUAACUGGAGGACCGAACCGACUAAUGUUGAAAAAUUAGCGGAUGACUUGUGGCUGGGGGUGAAAGGCCAAUCAAACCGGGAGAUAGCUGGUUCUCCCCGAAAGCUAUUUAGGUAGCGCCUCGUGAAUUCAUCUCCGGGGGUAGAGCACUGUUUCGGCAAGGGGGUCAUCCCGACUUACCAACCCGAUGCAAACUGCGAAUACCGGAGAAUGUUAUCACGGGAGACACACGGCGGGUGCUAACGUCCGUCGUGAAGAGGGAAACAACCCAGACCGCCAGCUAAGGUCCCAAAGUCAUGGUUAAGUGGGAAACGAUGUGGGAAGGCCCAGACAGCCAGGAUGUUGGCUUAGAAGCAGCCAUCAUUUAAAGAAAGCGUAAUAGCUCACUGGUCGAGUCGGCCUGCGCGGAAGAUGUAACGGGGCUAAACCAUGCACCGAAGCUGCGGCAGCGACGCUGAUGCGUUGUUGGGUAGGGGAGCGUUCUGUAAGCCUGCGAAGGUGUGCUGUGAGGCAUGCUGGAGGUAUCAGAAGUGCGAAUGCUGACAUAAGUAACGAUAAAGCGGGUGAAAAGCCCGCUCGCCGGAAGACCAAGGGUUCCUGUCCAACGUUAAUCGGGGCAGGGUGAGUCGACCCCUAAGGCGAGGCCGAAAGGCGUAGUCGAUGGGAAACAGGUUAAUAUUCCUGUACUUGGUGUUACUGCGAAGGGGGGACGGAGAAGGCUAUGUUGGCCGGGCGACGGUUGUCCCGGUUUAAGCGUGUAGGCUGGUUUUCCAGGCAAAUCCGGAAAAUCAAGGCUGAGGCGUGAUGACGAGGCACUACGGUGCUGAAGCAACAAAUGCCCUGCUUCCAGGAAAAGCCUCUAAGCAUCAGGUAACAUCAAAUCGUACCCCAAACCGACACAGGUGGUCAGGUAGAGAAUACCAAGGCGCUUGAGAGAACUCGGGUGAAGGAACUAGGCAAAAUGGUGCCGUAACUUCGGGAGAAGGCACGCUGAUAUGUAGGUGAAGUCCCUCGCGGAUGGAGCUGAAAUCAGUCGAAGAUACCAGCUGGCUGCAACUGUUUAUUAAAAACACAGCACUGUGCAAACACGAAAGUGGACGUAUACGGUGUGACGCCUGCCCGGUGCCGGAAGGUUAAUUGAUGGGGUUAGCGCAAGCGAAGCUCUUGAUCGAAGCCCCGGUAAACGGCGGCCGUAACUAUAACGGUCCUAAGGUAGCGAAAUUCCUUGUCGGGUAAGUUCCGACCUGCACGAAUGGCGUAAUGAUGGCCAGGCUGUCUCCACCCGAGACUCAGUGAAAUUGAACUCGCUGUGAAGAUGCAGUGUACCCGCGGCAAGACGGAAAGACCCCGUGAACCUUUACUAUAGCUUGACACUGAACAUUGAGCCUUGAUGUGUAGGAUAGGUGGGAGGCUUUGAAGUGUGGACGCCAGUCUGCAUGGAGCCGACCUUGAAAUACCACCCUUUAAUGUUUGAUGUUCUAACGUUGACCCGUAAUCCGGGUUGCGGACAGUGUCUGGUGGGUAGUUUGACUGGGGCGGUCUCCUCCUAAAGAGUAACGGAGGAGCACGAAGGUUGGCUAAUCCUGGUCGGACAUCAGGAGGUUAGUGCAAUGGCAUAAGCCAGCUUGACUGCGAGCGUGACGGCGCGAGCAGGUGCGAAAGCAGGUCAUAGUGAUCCGGUGGUUCUGAAUGGAAGGGCCAUCGCUCAACGGAUAAAAGGUACUCCGGGGAUAACAGGCUGAUACCGCCCAAGAGUUCAUAUCGACGGCGGUGUUUGGCACCUCGAUGUCGGCUCAUCACAUCCUGGGGCUGAAGUAGGUCCCAAGGGUAUGGCUGUUCGCCAUUUAAAGUGGUACGCGAGCUGGGUUUAGAACGUCGUGAGACAGUUCGGUCCCUAUCUGCCGUGGGCGCUGGAGAACUGAGGGGGGCUGCUCCUAGUACGAGAGGACCGGAGUGGACGCAUCACUGGUGUUCGGGUUGUCAUGCCAAUGGCACUGCCCGGUAGCUAAAUGCGGAAGAGAUAAGUGCUGAAAGCAUCUAAGCACGAAACUUGCCCCGAGAUGAGUUCUCCCUGACUCCUUGAGAGUCCUGAAGGAACGUUGAAGACGACGACGUUGAUAGGCCGGGUGUGUAAGCGCAGCGAU
This 2290-nucleotide ribosomal RNA is filed under the name Escherichia coli. RNAcentral describes it as "partial 23S ribosomal RNA". It matches the Rfam family "Bacterial large subunit ribosomal RNA", at positions 612 to 2882 of the family's 2925-position model. The record is from RNAcentral. Lineage: Bacteria; Pseudomonadati; Pseudomonadota; Gammaproteobacteria; Enterobacterales; Enterobacteriaceae.